RNAcentral lists this ribosomal RNA (403 nucleotides) under uncultured bacterium. RNAcentral describes it as "partial 16S ribosomal RNA". It matches the Rfam family "Bacterial small subunit ribosomal RNA", at positions 30 to 526 of the family's 1533-position model. The record is from RNAcentral.
AUUGAACGCUGGCGGCAGGCCUAACACAUGCAAGUCGAGCGAGCGGCGGACGGGUGAGUAAUGUAUGGGGACUGCCCGAUAGAGGGGGAUAACUACUGGAAACGGUAGCUAAUACCGCAUACUAUCGGAUAACCCAUAUGGGAUGAGCUAGUAGGUGAGGUAAUGGCUCACCUAGGCGACGAGCCCUAGCUGGUCUUAGAGGAUGCUCAGCCCAACUGGGACUGAGACACGUCCCAGACUCCUACGGGGGCAGCAGUGGGAAAUAUUGCACACGGGGCGCAAGCCUGAUGCAGCCAGGCCGCGUGUAUGAAGAAGGCCUUCGGGUUGUAAAGUACUUUCAGUCGGGAGGCGUUACCGACAGAAGAAGCACCGGCUAACUCCGUGCCAGCAGCCGCGGUAAUUC